Non-coding RNA from Pseudomonas sp., 130 nucleotides. Lineage: Bacteria; Pseudomonadati; Pseudomonadota; Gammaproteobacteria; Pseudomonadales; Pseudomonadaceae. The record is from Rfam.
UUGGUUAGAACUGAGCACAGGCCGCAUCGCAACGAAGCGGCACUUCAGGCUCGCGACGCCGGCAGCGAGCCCAUACCGGCAGAACGAUUCUGCCCGGCCUCCAUGAGGCCGACGGGACAUUACAGUCAAC